GACGAACGCUGGCGGCGUGCUUAACACAUGCAAGUCGAACGGAAAGGCCCUGCUUUUGUGGGGUGCUCGAGUGGCGAACGGGUGAGUAACACGUGAGUAACCUGCCCUUGACUUUGGGAUAACUUCAGGAAACUGGGGCUAAUACCGGAUAGGAGCUCCUGCUGCAUGGUGGGGGUUGGAAAGUUUCGGCGGUUGGGGAUGGACUCGCGGCUUAUCAGCUUGUUGGUGGGGUAGUGGCUUACCAAGGCUUUGACGGGUAGCCGGCCUGAGAGGGUGACCGGCCACAUUGGGACUGGAGUACGGCCCAGACCCCUCGGGGGGGCAGAGGGGGGGAAAUUGCGCAAAGGGCGGGAAGCCUGGGGCGGCAAGGCCGGGGGGGGAUGACGGCCUUCGGGUUGUAAACCGCUUUCGCCUGUGACGAAGCGUGAGUGACGGUAAUGGGUAAAGAAGCACCGGCUAACUACGUG
This 467-nucleotide ribosomal RNA is filed under the name uncultured bacterium. RNAcentral describes it as "partial 16S ribosomal RNA". It matches the Rfam family "Bacterial small subunit ribosomal RNA", at positions 28 to 507 of the family's 1533-position model. The record is from RNAcentral.